GGAUGGCUCAGAGGUUAAGAGCACUGGCUGCUCUUCCAGAGGUCCUGGGUUCAAAUCCCAGCAACCA
This 67-nucleotide transfer RNA is filed under the name Rattus norvegicus (Norway rat). It matches the Rfam family "tRNA". Rfam says of the family: Transfer RNA (tRNA) molecules are approximately 80 nucleotides in length. Their secondary structure includes four short double-helical elements and three loops (D, anti-codon, and T loops). Further hydrogen bonds mediate the characteristic L-shaped molecular structure. tRNAs have two regions of fundamental functional importance: the anti-codon, which is responsible for specific mRNA codon recognition, and the 3' end, to which the tRNAs corresponding amino acid is attached (by aminoacyl-tRNA synthetases). tRNAs cope with the degeneracy of the genetic code in two manners: having more than one tRNA (with a specific anti-codon) for a particular amino acid; and 'wobble' base-pairing, i.e. permitting non-standard base-pairing at the 3rd anti-codon position. The record is from Rfam by way of RNAcentral. Lineage: Eukaryota; Metazoa; Chordata; Mammalia; Rodentia; Muridae.